This 492-nucleotide ribosomal RNA is filed under the name uncultured bacterium. RNAcentral's name for it is "partial 16S ribosomal RNA". It matches the Rfam family "Bacterial small subunit ribosomal RNA", at positions 29 to 507 of the family's 1533-position model. The record is from RNAcentral.
AGUGAACGCCGGCGGUAGGCCUAACGCAUGCAAGUCGAACGGCAGCACAGUAAGAGCUUGCUCUUACGGGUGGCGAGUGGCGGACGGGUGAGGAAUACAUCGGAAUCUACUUUUUCGUGGGGGAUAACGUAGGGAAACUUACGCUAAUGCCGCAUACGACCUACGGGUGAAAGCAGGGGAUCUUCGGACCUUGCGCGAUUGAAUGAGCCGAUGUCGGAUUAGCUAGUUGGCGGGGUAAAGGCCCACCAAGGCGACGAUCCGUAGCUGGUCUGAGAGGAUGAUCAGCCACACUGGAACUGAGACACGGUCCAGACUCCUACGGGAGGCAGCAGUGGGGAAUAUUGGACAAUGGGCGCAAGCCUGAUCCAGCCAUACCGCGUGGGUGAAGAAGGCCUUCGGGUUGUAAAGCCCUUUUGUUGGGAAAGAAAAGCAGCAGGUUAAUACCCCGCUGUUCUGACGGUACCCAAAGAAUAAGCACCGGCUAACUUCGUG